ACUUUGGACUCCCUUGGUCUAGGAGGCCAGAGUUCAGAAGUUCCACACAGGCUUCUGUCGAUAGAGCUUGGAAUGUCUUGUGAGGAUCAUGUGCUAUGAGCCCCUGACUCAGAAUUCACGUGCUGACUGCCAUCCAGGCUCGCAGUCCCCCUCACAGACACCACACAGCAUCCUGCAUGUCAUCUCAGUACCGGUCUUUGCAUAGAGGCACGGUGACUAUGAUCAGGCUGUCCUCAGAGAUCACCUGCUUACAGCCCGGCUAGCCUUGGACCUCUUAAUACCACGAUGGUAGCUUCUGGAGAGUGGUGGAAUUCAUCUAGAAGCUGGGGCUCAUGAGUCAGCACCCGCACCCCUCUCGUCCCUCUGCUGGAUCCUCUUCAACCUC
This is a long non-coding RNA of Rattus norvegicus (Norway rat), 385 nucleotides long. RefSeq lists it as hypothetical. The record is from RefSeq and is marked validated. The transcript is spliced from 3 exons. Lineage: Eukaryota; Metazoa; Chordata; Mammalia; Rodentia; Muridae.